RNAcentral lists this ribosomal RNA (252 nucleotides) under uncultured bacterium. RNAcentral describes it as "partial 16S ribosomal RNA". It matches the Rfam family "Bacterial small subunit ribosomal RNA", at positions 524 to 776 of the family's 1533-position model. The record is from RNAcentral.
UACGUAGGGGGCAAGCGUUGUCCGGAUUUAUUGGGCGUAAAGAGCGUGUAGGCGGCUUUGCAAGUCCGUUGUGAAAACUCGAGCUCAACCUCGAGACGCCGGUGGAAACUGCAAAGCUAGAGUCCGGAAGAGGAGAGUGGAAUUCCUGGUGUAGCGGUGAAAUGCGCAGAUAUCAGGAAGAACACCCGUGGCGAAGGCGGCUCUCUGGGACGGUACUGACGCUGAGACGCGAAAGCGUGGGGAGCGAACAGG